AAGUCGUAACAAGGUAACCGUAGGUGAACCUGCGGUUGGAUCAUUACUAAAUUUUAGACUCGCCUGGCUUGCCAGCGAACUCUAUACAUUUUGUGAAUAGUGAAAAGUCUCUGGUGGGUUUAACAGCCCACCACUUUAACCUAGUAGAAACAUUAGCCUUUAACUAAAAAGUAUAAUUAAAAAACAACUUUUGGCAACGGAUCUCUAGGCUCUC
Molecule: unclassified non-coding RNA, 214 nt
Filed under: fungal sp.
Lineage: Eukaryota; Fungi
Description: partial internal transcribed spacer region
Rfam family: Eukaryotic small subunit ribosomal RNA (bases 1-46)
Source: RNAcentral